Molecule: ribosomal RNA, 479 nt
Filed under: Fusarium oxysporum
Lineage: Eukaryota; Fungi; Ascomycota; Sordariomycetes; Hypocreales; Nectriaceae
Description: partial 18S ribosomal RNA
Rfam family: 5.8S ribosomal RNA (bases 115-268)
Source: RNAcentral
CACUUGUUUGCCUCGGCGGAUCAGCCCGCUCCCGGUAAAACGGGACGGCCCGCCAGAGGACCCCUAAACUCUGUUUCUAUAUGUAACUUCUGAGUAAAACCAUAAAUAAAUCAAAACUUUCAACAACGGAUCUCUUGGUUCUGGCAUCGAUGAAGAACGCAGCAAAAUGCGAUAAGUAAUGUGAAUUGCAGAAUUCAGUGAAUCAUCGAAUCUUUGAACGCACAUUGCGCCCGCCAGUAUUCUGGCGGGCAUGCCUGUUCGAGCGUCAUUUCAACCCUCAAGCACAGCUUGGUGUUGGGACUCGCGUUAAUUCGCGUUCCUCAAAUUGAUUGGCGGUCACGUCGAGCUUCCAUAGCGUAGUAGUAAAACCCUCGUUACUGGUAAUCGUCGCGGCCACGCCGUUAAACCCCAACUUCUGAAUGUUGACCUCGGAUCAGGUAGGAAUACCCGCUGAACUUAAGCAUAUCAAUAAGCGGAGA